GGUGUUUUGGCAGAGCAGGUCUAUGCACCGGAAUGAAAAUCCGGCAAAGAAGGUUCGAUUCCUUCAGGCACCG
Molecule: transfer RNA, 73 nt
Filed under: Pinibacter aurantiacus
Lineage: Bacteria; Pseudomonadati; Bacteroidota; Chitinophagia; Chitinophagales; Chitinophagaceae
Rfam family: tRNA
About the family: Transfer RNA (tRNA) molecules are approximately 80 nucleotides in length. Their secondary structure includes four short double-helical elements and three loops (D, anti-codon, and T loops).
Source: Rfam by way of RNAcentral